GUUGUACUUCAGUGGAAGAACAUCUGCUCAACAUGCAAAAAGGUCCCAGGUUUAAUCUCUGGCAUAUCCA
This 70-nucleotide transfer RNA is filed under the name Sphaerodactylus townsendi. Its description in RNAcentral is "tRNA-Val". Lineage: Eukaryota; Metazoa; Chordata; Lepidosauria; Squamata; Sphaerodactylidae. The record is from RNAcentral.